UACGGAGGGUGCAAGCGUUACUCGGAAUCACUGGGCGUAAAGGACGCGUAGGCGGGCUUGUAAGUCAGAUGUGAAAUCCUAUGGCUCAACCAUAGAACUGCAUUUGAAACUACGAGCCUAGAGUAUGGGAGGGGGAGAUGGAAUUAGUGGUGUAGGGGUAAAAUCCGUAGAUAUCACUAGGAAUACCGAAAGCGAAGGCG
Molecule: ribosomal RNA, 200 nt
Filed under: uncultured bacterium
Lineage: Bacteria
Description: partial 16S ribosomal RNA
Rfam family: Bacterial small subunit ribosomal RNA
Source: RNAcentral